Molecule: transfer RNA, 72 nt
Filed under: Camelus bactrianus (Bactrian camel)
Lineage: Eukaryota; Metazoa; Chordata; Mammalia; Artiodactyla; Camelidae
Also listed under: 3 other names
Rfam family: tRNA
About the family: Transfer RNA (tRNA) molecules are approximately 80 nucleotides in length.
Source: Rfam by way of RNAcentral
GAGGGAAUAGCUCAGUGAUAGAGUGCAUGCUUAGCAUGCACAAGGUCCUGGGUUCAAUCCCCAGUACCUCCA